ACACGGCCCAGACUCCUACGGGAGGCAGCAGUGUGGAAUUUUGGACAAUGGGCGCAAGCCUGAUCCAGCCAUGCCGCGUGCGGGAAGAAGGCCUUCGGGUUGCAAACCGCUUUUGUCAGGGAAGAAAAGCUCCGGGCUAAUACCUUGGAGUCAUGACGGUACCUGAAGAAUAACCACCUGCUAACUACGUGCCAGCAGCCGCGGUAAUACGUAGGGUGCAAGCGUUAAUCGGAAUUACUGGGCGUAAAGCGUGCGCAGGCGGCUUUGCAAGACAGAUGUGAAAUCCCCGGGCUUAACCUGGGAACUGCAUUUGUGACUGCAUGGCUGGAGUGCGGCAGAGGGGGAUGGAAUUCCGCGUGUAUCACUGAAAUGCGUAUAUAUGCGGAGGAACACCGAUGGCGAAGGCAAUCCCCUGGGCCUGCUCUGACGCUCAUGCACGAAAGCGUGGGGAGCAAACACGAUUAGAUACCCUGUUAGCCCGCGCCCUAAACGAUGUCAACUGGAUGUUG
This 509-nucleotide ribosomal RNA is filed under the name soil bacterium T8. Its description in RNAcentral is "bacterial SSU rRNA". It matches the Rfam family "Bacterial small subunit ribosomal RNA", at positions 324 to 825 of the family's 1533-position model. The record is from RNAcentral.